UCCUUGGUGUAAAAUAUGAUUUGAGACGUGCUUCAGACCAACCUAACUUUGUUAGUCAAAAUGUAUAUCAGUGAAUAUGGCCCACAUUAAGCUCAUCCUUGGCUUCUCUCCUCCCAUGUUGAUUACAUUUUCCCUGAACACAGCAACACAAGAAAUAUAAAAAUUAUCAGAAUCUGCACAAGAAAAGUUUAUUAUGCUUAUUGACUUACUGAAAUUCAAAAGUCAAAAGCAUUGCAUGUAAUCACUUGCUUCAACUUUUAAUGCAAUGUGGUUCAGCAUAGCCAGCAUACGAGCUGUGGAACUAAUAGAAAAAGGAGAACACAUAUGAAGUGUUAUAGCUUAUCAAUUUUACUUGUGAAGAAACAAAAUUAAAUAAUACUGAGCAAAAUUGCUAACUAGGUUGCUCAUAAUUCUAGAUCAAAACAACAUAAAGGUGUCGGAUAAAAAAUAUUCUCAAUUAACUCAAGGGAAAUUGAGAGGGAGAGGUAGAAUUGAAAUAUUUAACCAAAACGGUCAUCACGCAUAGAACUACUAUAAUCAUAUGAGUACGGCAUACGCAAAUGAAUUACAACAGACUUUAUUUCUUGAAACACAGAUAAUUCUGCCUGAAUUGCAAUUAAAUGUGUGUAAGUUUAUUUAAGAAACUAUAGAGCAAUACAACUACAAUCAACAACCAAGCCUUAAUCUCAGUAGGUGGGAUUAAGUUGAUGGAUCGAAUGACGGCAUAAUGUUAAAAUAAUUAGCGACACAAUAUUGAUUAGAAUUGAAGUAUUAAAAUAAAUCAUUUCUGUUUCAUUACAUCGAACAAGGAUAACAUUAUGAAUG
Molecule: long non-coding RNA, 825 nt
Filed under: Lupinus angustifolius (narrow-leaved blue lupine)
Lineage: Eukaryota; Viridiplantae; Streptophyta; Magnoliopsida; Fabales; Fabaceae
Description: long non-coding RNA (LANG_LNC002334)
Source: RNAcentral